This 472-nucleotide ribosomal RNA is filed under the name uncultured bacterium. RNAcentral's name for it is "bacterial SSU rRNA". It matches the Rfam family "Bacterial small subunit ribosomal RNA", at positions 8 to 526 of the family's 1533-position model. The record is from RNAcentral.
AGAGUUUGAUCCUGGCUCAGAACGAACGCUGGCGGCAUGCCUAACACAUGCAAGUCGAACGAGACCUUCGGGUCUAGUGGCGCACGGGCGCGUAACGCGUGGGAAUCUGCCCUUAGGUUCGGAAUAACUCAGGGAAACUUGAGCUAAUACCGGAUAAUGACUUCGGUCCAAAGAUUUAUCGCCCAGGGAUGAGCCCGCGUCGGAUUAGCUAGUUGGUGAGGUAAAAGCUCACCAAGGCGACGAUCCGUAGCUGGUCUGAGAGGAUGAUCAGCCACACUGGGACUGAGACACGGCCCAGACUCCUACGGGAGGCAGCAGUGGGGAAUAUUGGACAAUGGGCGAAAGCCUGAUCCAGCAAUGCCGCGUGAGUGAUGAAGGCCUUAGGGUUGUAAAGCUCUUUUACCCGGGAUGAUAAUGACAGUACCGGGAGAAUAAGCCCCGGCUAACUCCGUGCCAGCCGCCGCGGUAAUAC